Molecule: long non-coding RNA, 2031 nt
Organism: Equus caballus (horse)
Lineage: Eukaryota; Metazoa; Chordata; Mammalia; Perissodactyla; Equidae
Source: Ensembl
GCCCUUCCCGGCCUCGCCCGCACUCCCAGCGCCCACGGAGGCGGCCAGCCUUCUCCCCAGAGACCGUCUGGGAGUCGCUCAAGGCUUUCCAUGACUGGCGGGGAUGCGCCGCUGCCCCAAGCCCCGCCACGUUCUCCAUCCAGCAGCCGGCCUGGUGCUCCCUGAAUAGGGACCACCCAUGCCAGAUCAUCCCCCUCCCUUUGCCUGGCUUCAGUCCGACGCGAGGCCGCUGGGGGGCAAGCGCUGUGGUUGAGAAAAGCAAAGAAAAAAGAAAAAUCCACCAAGUUUAGGGGGUGAAGGAGCACUGUAUAUAUCUGGAUUUAAAAAAAGCAAUUCCUCCCACCCACAACCAUCGGAAACACACCCUCGUGUCCACUGCCCCUCGCCCGUAUCUCAUGAACCAGAAGGGCAAAUACGCCACAACUUUCUCUUUGUCCCACGUCUGUCCCCUGACGCCAUCUGCCCACGUCUCUACGUGACGCAGCUUCUCUCCGUCGAAAACCCCAGUCGGGCAGAUGCGUUGGCGAGUGACGCCUCUUCGGAACCGGGGUCAGGAGGAAGACGCCUCUGAGAGCGCUUCAAAAACCCAGCGGGUGAGCGGGACCCGCUGUGCCCAACCGGCCGCGCCCCCGUCCCGACCACGUGCGCGCGCGCGGGGCUCGCUCUCAAUGACCCUCUGAGCAGGUUAUUGUCACCACGCCCUCCUCCCCACUCAUUUUUACAGACCAGCCCUGAGCUAACAUCUGUGCCAGUCUUCCUCUCUUUUGUAUGUGGGAUGCCUCCACAGCAUGGCUAGUGAGUGGAGGAUGACUGCACCAGGAUCCCAACCUGCAAACCAAGGCUGCCGAAGCGGAGCACAGGGAACCUCAACCACUUGGCCACAGGGCCAGGCCCUGUUUAACUUUUGAUGAAUGAAUCUUACAUCGAUGUGUCAUUAGGAGAGGAAGACAACAUGCUCCAGGAUCAGCACUUCCUUGGUUAUUCUCCAGGAUCAGCUGCAGUUUUGACAGCCAGUUGGUGUGGCUUUGCUUGGGGUGGGGGUCGGGGGCUUUUGGUCGGCUCCACGUGUCUGGGACAAAUGGCUCCCAGAAAAUACUCGUCUUCAGAUUUGUAGCAGAAGCCCAGGAACCCAAACCAAUCCAUGCAAACACAUUUAAAAGCCUUCUCAGGCACCACAUCGCUACCGCUUCACUGGCCAAAGUCGCACGGCCAAGCCCAGCUUUAACGGAGAGGAGACGUAAUACUCGCCGGCUCUACCGGGAGGCACUGCAAAGUCAUAGGACAGAAGGUGCGAUGGAUCAUGGUUUUAGAGGCAAAGAGUAAGGAACUGGGCACAAGUAUGUUCCCCACCAUCCACAAUGAGGUUUGUUCCCUCUUUGUGAGGGGCUGGGGUUAUUUUACAUAGUUACUUUACUUUUUCUACGUCACAUUUACCUUGUAUCAAAGACUUGAUGAUCUUGAUGCAAAUGUGUUUGCCCUGUGGGAUGUUUGUAGUUAGAGGACCCUCCAGCCGCAGUGCCCGGCAGCCAAGCAGCCUGCCUGCCGGGAACGCCUCUGGGGAAGCUGGGCUGGCUCUCAUGGAAAGUUUCAGGCUUCUUUAAUCCAGGCCUCUUAAGGAAUGGGAAUCGAUAAAUGGCGUAAAUCAUUCCCCUCAAGGAAUAUUCUCGGAAGUGAACAACAGGCUGGAGAAAUCGCCAGCAGAGUAUUCUUACUUUUCAGCGUUUGGACCUCUGCUCACCUUCUGAAUGGCUGGGCAUUUCUAAACUGCUAAAAAUGCAGGCCUCGGGGAGGGAAGAAUGAGACUAAGUUGUGUGGAGAUUUCCAUGUGACCCUGAGUUAUCUUUUCAGCCUCUUCUCGAGGGUCCAGCGAAUGAUGGUGUGGGGUGGGCUUGCUCCCGUGAGGUGCACCAGGCUGUCCCUGUGGGGUGACCUCAGUGCUGUCAGCCGAGAUCUCAGAAGUUCAUUCCACCAUUUUGAGGGCUUUGCCUUUCAGAAUGCAAAAACUUGGAAGAGAAGGGGAGGUAAACGAAC